UGGGGAAUCUUGGACAAUGGGGGCAACCCUGAUCCAGCGACGCCGCGUGGGUGGUAAGGCCUUCGGGUUGUAAAGCCCUUUCACUGGGGAAGAUGAUGACAUUACCCGGAGAAGAAGCGCCGGCAAACUCCGUGCCUGGAGGCGCGGUAAGUCGGAGGGCGGUAGCGUUGUUCGGAAUCUCUGGGCGUAAAGGGCGCGUAGGCGGCUGUUUAAGUCGAGGGUGAAAGCCCGGGGCUCAACCCCGGAACGGCCUUCGAGACUGGGCAGCUCGAGACCGGAAGAGGAGGGUGGAAUACCCAGUGUAGAGGUGAAAUUCGUAGAUAUUGGGUGGAACACCAGUGGCGAAAGCGGCUCUCUGGUCCGGAUCUGACGCUGAGGCGCGAAAGCGUGGGGAGCAAACAGGAUUAGAUACCCGUGUAGUCC
Molecule: ribosomal RNA, 423 nt
Filed under: uncultured prokaryote
Description: bacterial SSU rRNA
Rfam family: Bacterial small subunit ribosomal RNA
Source: RNAcentral